RNAcentral lists this long non-coding RNA (503 nucleotides) under Suricata suricatta (meerkat). RNAcentral describes it as "lncRNA (ENSSSUG00005016459.1)". Lineage: Eukaryota; Metazoa; Chordata; Mammalia; Carnivora; Herpestidae. The record is from RNAcentral.
CACACAAGAUAUUCCAGAAUCUGGUUUGGAAUAGAUACAAACCUGUCUUUUUCCUUUUCCUCAGAUGCACGGGAGCCUGAAGGAGGAACAGGGAAUCUGAAGACUCCAGAUGACACGGGAGCUGGUUUUCAACAGCCUUCUCGAUUUCCUUGCUCAGAAAGUAGAUACAAACCUUGGAGCCAGAUGAACACUGAUAUUUGCAUUUAAUUGGACACAAGAUGAAGAAGGAGCAUACGUUCGCUAAGGAUUCUGUCUGCUUGCUUCUGUAGAUCUACGUAUUAAGGAGUUCUUCUUGCUUAGGAGUUGAUCUGCUCUGCGGUCGUACCGCUGUGGAGUUUGCCCACCAUUUAUCUUGUCUUUGCCAGAAGAAAUCCUGGUUGGAAUGAAACAGUGCAUCUCUGUCUGAUUACUAUGGAAGGUGAUAAACUGACGCUCACUUAUUAAAGUUACAUCUCACUCCCCCACAGAAAACCAUUCUUCAACGUGACUAGAAACCAAGCCCU